Molecule: ribosomal RNA, 714 nt
Filed under: Olegblumia demissa
Lineage: Eukaryota; Fungi; Ascomycota; Lecanoromycetes; Teloschistales; Teloschistaceae
Description: LSU rRNA
Rfam family: Eukaryotic large subunit ribosomal RNA
Source: RNAcentral
GUGAGAAUCCCGUCUGUGACCGGUGACCAAUCCCAUGUGAAACCCCUUCGACGAGUCGAGUUGUUUGGGAAUGCAGCUCAAAAUGGGUGGUAAAUUUCAUCUAAAGCUAAAUACCGGCCAGAGACCGAUAGCGCACAAGUAGAGUGAUCGAAAGAUGAAAAGCACUUUGGAAAGAGAGUCAAAAAGUACGUGAAAUUGUUGAAAGGGAAGCGCUUGCAACCAGACCUGCCCGCGGGCGAUCAGCCGUCCUUCUGGGCGGUGCACUCGACCGCGAUCAGGCCAGCAUCGGUUCGGGCGGCCGGAUAAAGGCCUUGGGAACGUGGCUCCUUUCGGGGAGUGUUAUAGCCCUUGGUGCAAUGCGGCCCGUCUGAACCGAGGACCGCGCUUCGGCUAGGAUGCUGGCGUAAUGGUUGUAAGCGGCCCGUCUUGAAACACGGACCAAGGAGUCUAACAUCUAUGCGAGUGUUUGGGUGUCAAACCCACGCGCGGAAUGAAAGUGAACGGAGGUGGGAACCCUGAAGGGCGCACCAUCGACCGAUCCAGAUGUCUUCGGAUGGAUUUGAGUACGAGCAUAGCUGUUGGGACCCGAAAGAUGGUGAACUAUGCCUGAAUAGGGUGAAGCCAGAGGAAACUCUGGUGGAGGCUCGCAGCGGUUCUGACGUGCAAAUCGAUCGUCAAAUUUGGGUAUAGGGGCGAAAGACUAAUCGAACCAUU